UAAGGUAUAGCUCAGUGGUAGAGUACCUGCCUAGCAUGCAGGAGGUUCUGGGUUCAAUCCCCAAUACCUCCA
RNAcentral lists this transfer RNA (72 nucleotides) under Camelus bactrianus (Bactrian camel). It matches the Rfam family "tRNA". Rfam says of the family: Transfer RNA (tRNA) molecules are approximately 80 nucleotides in length. Their secondary structure includes four short double-helical elements and three loops (D, anti-codon, and T loops). RNAcentral also lists the same sequence under 1 other name. Lineage: Eukaryota; Metazoa; Chordata; Mammalia; Artiodactyla; Camelidae. The record is from Rfam by way of RNAcentral.